GGGGACACUUAAGUACAUGAACGUACUCAGCAAAAGUGUUCGCGCCGCAGGGGCCUCUGGGAAGUGUAGUCUCCCCUCCUCACCUCGGUAGUACUUGGGGUCGUUCCGCUGCAGGGCGGCCACGGCCUUGUCGAAGCUCUGGUCCAGACGUUUGACCAGAGCGACCGCCGUGGUUCUCUGGGCCCAGCUCACCGGGUCGCUGUGCGGCCACGUCCGAACGGCCUCCUUCAGCUCGGCUGCGACGCGAAACGACAAGGAGGAGAGGAUCAGGAGCAGAGGAAACACAUCCGGUACAGCGAUGCCGUUACGUCAGGCUCCCCAGAGGAUGGAUCCUUUCCUCCUGCACCGGCAGCAGCUUCAGGACUCUGGUCUGGACUGAAAUGUUGACAUGGACAUUUUCUGCAGACAUGCGUGGUACCCAGAGGAUGGAUCCUGGUAGCUUUGCUAAGCAUGAGGAACCCGACCACCCCGUCCAGGUUGAUGUGCGCGUGCUGCCGCUCCAGGAACGACGCGCCCCGCGAGAGGCUGCUCAGCACGUCAUCGAUCACCUCCGCGCGACACGCGCACAACGCUGCGGCAAACAGAGCCAGCGCGGCGGCCAGCCGGUGCCCCGCGGCCCGCAUCUUCUCCCCGGACAGGAGACAAGGAGACAGGAGGCGGACAAGCUGCGUCCGGUCCGGCGAGGGAGGGGCUUCACGUGACGUCACCGAGGCUGUCUUUUUAUUUCUGGUUCACGGUCCUGUCACGGUUUGGGUCUCGUUUUAUUUUGUAGUUUCACGCCUCUGCGCUCCUGGGUUCACCUCCCGUCCUGCCGUGUCCUGUCAUCCUGUGUCCACCUGUGUCCAAUCACCUGCACCGUCCCUGUGUAUUUAAGCCGCGUGUGUGUGGUUUCUGCAUGAGGGAAUUAUACAUUGUAGUAGUAGUAAUGAUUAUAAUACUAAUAUAUUCUUCAAAUGAUCAAAAUCUAAAAUAAUGACAAAAUAUACAUAUGUUAUUUUAUUAUCUGAUUAAAAGUGAGAAAGCUUUCACGAUUAUUUUGAAUAUUGUGUAAGUUAAUUCCUCUGUGAAGUAAAAACGGGUCAAAUGCACUUUGGUGUCCAUGGAGUUGUUUAAUUUCAAUAUAAAGCAAUAUAUUAUUAUAAUAUAGUUUAAAGUCUAAAGUUAUGGUUUGUUGUGGAUUCAUUCUUUGCAGCCUUAACUAUAUUCCUAUAAAAUGUUUAUCUUGUUGACUUUAUUUGAGUCGUGAUGAGGACCCUCACAGACCAGAAACACACAACACGCUGGAGAUUCAGACCCUUCAAUUCACGGAGAUUUAUUGGAGCAACACACACCCGGAUAAACAAAGCUUGUUUGACAACAAGAGCCCGUUUUUUCCAUUUUAUUCCUAAACAAAGAAACAAAACAUUCCUAAAUGAGUGAAGUUUCAAGUUAUCAGAAUCAGAACCAUUUAUCUGCCAAGAGACACAUUUACAAAGUGCAAGAAAUAUGGAU
Gasterosteus aculeatus aculeatus (three-spined stickleback) is the source of this 1491-nucleotide long non-coding RNA. NCBI's taxonomy places the organism in Eukaryota, Metazoa, Chordata, Actinopteri, Perciformes, Gasterosteidae. The record is from Ensembl.